Galeopterus variegatus (Sunda flying lemur) is the source of this 74-nucleotide non-coding RNA. The record is from the annotation of a RefSeq genome assembly. Lineage: Eukaryota; Metazoa; Chordata; Mammalia; Dermoptera; Cynocephalidae.
GGCUGGUUAGCUUACUUGGGAGAGCGUGGUGCUGGUAACACCAAGGUCACGGGUUCGAAUCCCCGAACCGGCCA